RNAcentral lists this ribosomal RNA (440 nucleotides) under uncultured bacterium. RNAcentral's name for it is "partial 16S ribosomal RNA". It matches the Rfam family "Bacterial small subunit ribosomal RNA", at positions 338 to 795 of the family's 1533-position model. The record is from RNAcentral.
CCUACGGGUGGCAGCAGUGGGGAAUAUUGCACAAUGGGGGAAACCCUGAUGCAGCAACGCCGCGUGAGUGACGAAGUAUUUCGGUAUGUAAAGCUCUAUCAGCAGGGAAGAAAAUGACGGUACCUGAGUAAGAAGCCAUGGACAACUACGUGCCAGCAGCCGCGGUAAUACGGAGGGGGCAAGCGUUAUCCGGAUUUACUGGGUGUAAAGGGAGCGUAGACGGCGAUGCAAGUCUGAAGUGAAAGCCCGGGGCUCAACCCCGGGACGGCUUUGGAUACUGUAUGGCUGGAGUGCUGGAGAGGCAAGCGGAAUUCCUGGUGUAGCGGUGAAAUGCGUAGAUAUUAGGAAGAACACCGGUGGCGAAGGCGGCUUGCUGGACAGUAACUGACGUUGAGGCUCGAAAGCGUGGGGAGCAAACAGGAUUAGAUACCCUAGUAGUC